This 629-nucleotide long non-coding RNA is filed under the name Homo sapiens (human). Its description in RNAcentral is "ZRANB2 divergent transcript". The record is from RNAcentral. Lineage: Eukaryota; Metazoa; Chordata; Mammalia; Primates; Hominidae.
AUGAUUCUCCAAGUUCUCUUUCUCCUACUGUGGCACCUACUGACAAGAUAAAUGUGUAGAGGUUCCUGAGUCUAGGGGCACUGGAACCAGCUGACUGAUCUAUGGAAGUUCCCUUGGUCUCCAUUUGUUUAGAAAAGCUGCAAUAAAGCAUAACCAGGAGUACAACAGAUUUCAAUUUCUGUGAGUCCUUCUAGCAAAUUGCCAAAACUGAAGAUGGCUUUGGGAACAUCCAAAGUUAUACCAGAGCUUUCAUGGUGAAAGAAGAGGGCAAAACUCAACCCGUCUCUUUAGACUUGGGAAGAAUAUGAAAGGACCAGGAGGGACACCUUUCCUAAUAACCUAGCUGAUGGUUCACUUAUUAGGCUGGAAAGCUGAAAAAUGACAUUCCCAGACUCCAUUGAAAUUAGAUUUCCAGAGAGUUGUCUCACUAAGCCCAAAUUUGUCUAACUGGCCUUAUUUCCCUGGAGUAUAUCCUGGAAGUUUCCAUUCAAGCCAAUUUAAGUUACUUUAAAUUAGGAAAGGCAGAAAACAAAAGCCCAAACCUUUGUAAAGGAGGAGGAUUUGCUACAUUGUUCUCAAUUCAUCACAGAAGAGGAUGAAACUGAGUGAUUACACUUGCUGGAGAGAAA